GUGUUCAGAUCAGCAGCACAUAUACUGAAAUUGGAAAGAGACAAAGUAGAUUAGCAUGGCCCCUGUUCAAGCACCUACUUUUUAAAAAAAAUAUUAAUUUAUUU
This is a small nuclear RNA of Jaculus jaculus (lesser Egyptian jerboa), 104 nucleotides long. The record is from RefSeq and is a predicted model, not a curated record. NCBI's taxonomy places the organism in Eukaryota, Metazoa, Chordata, Mammalia, Rodentia, Dipodidae.